This 16-nucleotide transfer RNA is filed under the name Arachnothera longirostra (little spiderhunter). RNAcentral's name for it is "partial tRNA-Thr". The record is from RNAcentral. Lineage: Eukaryota; Metazoa; Chordata; Aves; Passeriformes; Nectariniidae.
UAAACUCUAAUAGUUU